Molecule: ribosomal RNA, 253 nt
Filed under: uncultured bacterium
Lineage: Bacteria
Description: partial 16S ribosomal RNA
Rfam family: Bacterial small subunit ribosomal RNA
Source: RNAcentral
UACGAAGGGGGCUAGCGUUGUUCGGAAUUACUGGGCGUAAAGCGCACGUAGGCGGAUACUUAAGUUAGGGGUGAAAUCCCAGAGCUCAACUCUGGAACUGCCUUUAAUACUGGGUAUCUCGAGUCCGAGAGAGGUGAGUGGAAUUCCGAGUGUAGAGGUGAAAUUCGUAGAUAUUCGGAAGAACACCCGUGGCUAAGGCGGUUCUCUAGUACGGUACUGACGCUGAGACGCGAAAGCGUGGGGAGCGAACAGG